UGCGCCAGUGCGGGUACCCCGGGACUGACACGCACGCCUCCCCGCCCCCGGAAACGGGUCUUGGAGAAAAGAUCGCUCCUUGCGAGUGGGUUUUUCUCCUCACAUCCUCGUUUUUAAAGGCUUUACGUGUUUCCAAAGCGAGAGAAUGAUUUGACUCUACCCUACCCACCCUAUCCUUGGCCUCUUUUGUGUUGCCAUCAGUUCACCGGCUGUAGAGGCUGCUUGUUUAAAAACUCGAGGAAGCAUUAUGUCUCAAGGUGCUCCCCACCCACAGUGGAGAAGUGUUCACUGUUGAGAGAACCCCGACAUGACUCCGAGCAGACGCGGUCGGCUCCAGGUGCGCUAGAGGUGCUGGAGAAGGAGAAGGCCCAUGAUGUAAUUUAGGAAGUCUGAUUUCCUGUGCUGGUCUCAUUUUGUGAGACCAUCUGUGGCGGCCCAUUUCUAAACAGGCACACACCCCGGAGGGAAGUCAAGGUCACCCUGUGUGUGGACAGGACUCAUCUUUCCGUACAGAAGUAAUACCUCUGUGGCCAAGUCCUAGGAUAAAUACGAUUUAUUUAUCCUAGGGGGAAGGAGAGGAACACUUAAAUGCCCCUGGGUGCUUCAUGACUUUAUUUAAAACAAUAUAAAUAAAUUCUACAUUAAAACUGACCAUAAUGAAAUUAA
Long non-coding RNA from Phyllostomus hastatus (greater spear-nosed bat), 666 nucleotides. RefSeq lists it as uncharacterized. Lineage: Eukaryota; Metazoa; Chordata; Mammalia; Chiroptera; Phyllostomidae. The transcript has 3 exons. The record is from RefSeq and is a predicted model, not a curated record.